AGUGAACGCUGGCGGUGUGCUUAACACAUGCAAGUCGAACGUGAAGCCAGAGCUUGCUCUGGUGGAAAGUGGCAGACGGGUGAGUAACGCGUGGGAAUUUACCCAGUGGUACGGAAUAACUUCGGGAAACCGGAGCUAAUACCGUAUACGCCCUUCGGGGGAAAGAUUUAUCGCCAUUGGAUGAGCCCGCGUCGGAUUAGCUUGUUGGUGGGGUAAAAGCCUACCAAGGCGACGAUCCGUAGCUGGUCUGAGAGGAUGAUCAGCCACACUGGGACUGAGACACGGCCCAGACUCCUACGGGAGCAGCAGUGGGGAAUAUUGCACAAUGGGCGCAAGCCUGAUGCAGCCAUGCCGCGUGAGUGAAGAAGGCCCUAGGGUUGUAAAACUCUUUCACCGGUGAAGAUAAUGACGGUAGCCGGAGAAGAAGCCCCGGCCAACUCCGUGCC
Molecule: ribosomal RNA, 446 nt
Filed under: uncultured bacterium
Lineage: Bacteria
Description: bacterial SSU rRNA
Rfam family: Bacterial small subunit ribosomal RNA
Source: RNAcentral